AGAUUGAACGCUGGCGGCAGGCCUAACACAUGCAAGUCGAGCGGUAGAGAGGCGCUUGCAUCUCUUGAGAGCGGCGGACGGGUGAGUAAUGCCUAGGAAUCUGCCUAGUGGCGGGGGAUAACGUUCGGAAACGGACGCUAAUACCGCAUACGUCCUACGGGAGAAAGCGGGGGACCUUCGGGCCUCGCGCCAUUAGAUGAGCCUAGGUCGGAUUAGCUAGUUGGUGAGGUAAUGGCUCACCAAGGCGACGAUCCGUAACUGGUCUGAGAGGAUGAUCAGUCACACUGGAACUGAGACACGGUCCAGACUCCGUACGGGAGCAGCAGGUGGGGAAUA
Molecule: ribosomal RNA, 336 nt
Filed under: uncultured soil bacterium
Lineage: Bacteria
Description: bacterial SSU rRNA
Rfam family: Bacterial small subunit ribosomal RNA
Source: RNAcentral